ACCAUGCAUUCUUACAGAUUUCAUACUUAGGAGGAACUAUCCUUAUCUCCUAGAGUUUCAGGAUCUGGUCAUGAAAAUCUCCUGGGUUCCUCCCAUCAACAUAAUAUUAUCUUGGGCCUGCACUUCUCCUGCAGUUAACAGAUAGUUUUCUAAGGAAUGUGACAUAUCCUUUCCAUCUUGACCAGGCAGGACUGCAGAUUCAGUAAACAUGAUACUGCUGGUUACUGGUGACAAGUUCUGCUUCCUCACAUGUUGAAGUAUAACACUAGAGGAGUGCGCUGAGGAAGAGGAAGAGACAUCCAGGAUAUGCACACAGAGAAAUGUCAAGUGAGGAUGGUGAGAAGACAGCCAUCUGAGAGCCAGAGAGAGGUCUCAAAGGAAACCAAGUCUACAAAUAUCAGCUCUUGACUUCCAGCCUCCAGCAUGGUGAAAAAAUAAAUUUUUAUUGUUAAA
Non-coding RNA from Ictidomys tridecemlineatus (thirteen-lined ground squirrel), 453 nucleotides. The record is from RefSeq and is a predicted model, not a curated record. Lineage: Eukaryota; Metazoa; Chordata; Mammalia; Rodentia; Sciuridae.